RNAcentral lists this ribosomal RNA (254 nucleotides) under uncultured bacterium. Its description in RNAcentral is "partial 16S ribosomal RNA". It matches the Rfam family "Bacterial small subunit ribosomal RNA", at positions 524 to 776 of the family's 1533-position model. The record is from RNAcentral.
UACGUAGGGGGCAAGCGUUGUCCGGAAUUAUUGGGCGUAAAGAGCGUGUAGGCGGCCAGAUAAGUCCGCUGUGAAAUCUCGAGGCUCAACUUCGAGCUGUCGGUGGAAACUGUCUGGCUAGAGUCCGGAAGAGGAGAAUGGAAUUCCUGGUGUAGCGGUGAAAUGCGCAGAUAUCAGGAAGAACACCCGUGGCGAAGGCGGUUCUCUGGGACGGUACUGACGCUGAGACGCGAAAGCGUGGGGGAGCGAACAGG